AGAGAGGUGCAAGAGUGGUUGAAUUGGCUACCCUGGAAAGGUAGUAUACUGGUAACGGUAUCGAGGGUUCGAAUCCCUUCCUCUCUG
Molecule: transfer RNA, 87 nt
Filed under: Polaribacter sp. BAL334
Lineage: Bacteria; Pseudomonadati; Bacteroidota; Flavobacteriia; Flavobacteriales; Flavobacteriaceae
Description: tRNA-Ser
Rfam family: tRNA
About the family: Transfer RNA (tRNA) molecules are approximately 80 nucleotides in length. Their secondary structure includes four short double-helical elements and three loops (D, anti-codon, and T loops). Further hydrogen bonds mediate the characteristic L-shaped molecular structure. tRNAs have two regions of fundamental functional importance: the anti-codon, which is responsible for specific mRNA codon recognition, and the 3' end, to which the tRNAs corresponding amino acid is attached (by aminoacyl-tRNA synthetases). tRNAs cope with the degeneracy of the genetic code in two manners: having more than one tRNA (with a specific anti-codon) for a particular amino acid; and 'wobble' base-pairing, i.e. permitting non-standard base-pairing at the 3rd anti-codon position.
Source: RNAcentral